UACGUAGGGUGCGAGCGUUGUCCGGAAUUAUUGGGCGUAAAGAGCUUGUAGGCGGUUUGUCGCGUCUGCUGUGAAAAUCCGGGGCUCAACCCCGGACUUGCAGUGGGUACGGGCAGACUAGAGUGUGGUAGGGGAGACUGGAAUUCCUGGUGUAGCGGUGAAGUGCGCAGAUAUCAGGAGGAACACCGAUGGCGAAGGCAGGUCUCUGGGCCACUACUGACGCUGAGAAGCGAAAGCAUGGGGAGCGAACAGG
RNAcentral lists this ribosomal RNA (253 nucleotides) under uncultured bacterium. Its description in RNAcentral is "partial 16S ribosomal RNA". It matches the Rfam family "Bacterial small subunit ribosomal RNA", at positions 524 to 776 of the family's 1533-position model. The record is from RNAcentral.